This 253-nucleotide ribosomal RNA is filed under the name uncultured bacterium. RNAcentral describes it as "partial 16S ribosomal RNA". It matches the Rfam family "Bacterial small subunit ribosomal RNA", at positions 524 to 776 of the family's 1533-position model. The record is from RNAcentral.
UACGUAGGGGGCUAGCGUUGUCCGGAAUCAUUGGGCGUAAAGAGCGUGUAGGCUGCUCGGCAAGUCCGCUGUAAAAGUCAAAGGCUCAACCUUUGAAUGUCAGUGGAUACUGCCGGGCUAGAGUCCGGAAGAGGCGAGUGGAACUCCUGGUGUAGCGGUGGAAUGCGCAGAUAUCAGGAAGAACACCAACGGCGAAGGCAGCUCGCUAGGACGGUACUGACGCUGAGGCGCGAAAGCGUGGGGAGCGAACAGG